GCCUGGAUAGCUCAGUGGUAGAGCGCAGUCCUGAAGAGACUGGCGUCGGGUGUUCAAUUCACCCUCCAGGCA
RNAcentral lists this transfer RNA (72 nucleotides) under Candidatus Nomurabacteria bacterium RIFCSPHIGHO2_01_FULL_38_19. Its description in RNAcentral is "tRNA-Phe". It matches the Rfam family "tRNA". Rfam says of the family: Transfer RNA (tRNA) molecules are approximately 80 nucleotides in length. Lineage: Bacteria; Candidatus Nomuraibacteriota. The record is from RNAcentral.